RNAcentral lists this long non-coding RNA (284 nucleotides) under Rattus norvegicus (Norway rat). Its description in RNAcentral is "long non-coding RNA NONRATT004173". The record is from RNAcentral. Lineage: Eukaryota; Metazoa; Chordata; Mammalia; Rodentia; Muridae.
GGCCUCUAGGAAGAGCAAGAAACUGGAGGUUUUAUUUUUUUAACUUAAAGCGUAUUUAAUAGCUUUAAAAGCCACUGAGGCACAUUGAAAUAAAGAUAUACAAAAUAUUAAGGACGACCCACAGUACAAACAAAAUAACUACUCUUCUUUAAACAAAGACAUGUGAGAACAUUCAGAUAAAGAAGCUUCACAUGUCAACAGUAAUGGGAAAAGAUGAAUCGCUUGUUCCGGGUCAGAAAAAGGUAUUCACCAGACUACAAGAGGACGUGUUGCUCCCAGCCAGG